This 117-nucleotide ribosomal RNA is filed under the name uncultured bacterium. RNAcentral describes it as "partial 16S ribosomal RNA". It matches the Rfam family "Bacterial small subunit ribosomal RNA", at positions 1360 to 1482 of the family's 1533-position model. The record is from RNAcentral.
CGGUGAAUACGUUCCCGGACCUUGCACACACCGCCCGUCAAGCCCAUGGAAGCUGGGUGUACCUAAAGUCGGUAACCGUAAGGAGCCGCCUAGGGGUAAAAACUAGUGACUGGGGCU